AAUAAAAUGGCUGAGGUUUAAGCGAUAAAUUGUAAAUUUAUUUACGAGAUUUAAUCUCUUUUAUUA
Molecule: transfer RNA, 66 nt
Filed under: Telchinia lycoa
Lineage: Eukaryota; Metazoa; Arthropoda; Insecta; Lepidoptera; Nymphalidae
Description: Acraea lycoa tRNA-Tyr
Rfam family: tRNA
About the family: Transfer RNA (tRNA) molecules are approximately 80 nucleotides in length. Their secondary structure includes four short double-helical elements and three loops (D, anti-codon, and T loops).
Source: RNAcentral